RNAcentral lists this ribosomal RNA (253 nucleotides) under uncultured bacterium. RNAcentral describes it as "partial 16S ribosomal RNA". It matches the Rfam family "Bacterial small subunit ribosomal RNA", at positions 524 to 776 of the family's 1533-position model. The record is from RNAcentral.
UACAGAGGUCUCAAGCGUUGUUCGGAUUCAUUGGGCGUAAAGGGUGCGUAGGUGGCGCUGUAAGUCGGGUGUGAAAUUUCGGAGCUUAACUCCGAAACUGCAUUCGAUACUGCGGUGCUUGAGGACUGGAGAGGAGACUGGAAUUCAUGGUGUAGCAGUGAAAUGCGUAGAGAUCAUGAGGAAGACCAGUGGCGAAGGCGGGUCUCUGGACAGUUCCUGACACUGAGGCACGAAGGCCAAGGGAGCAAACGGG